GGGGGGGGGGGGUGUCCAAAAUUAUAUUAGCGAUUAUAUACAUCUCCACUACUGAUAGUAAUCAUACCAAGCGAUUCCAUGGCAGCUGAAUAUCUGACAGGCUCGGAGUAAAUCAAAUAUUCUCCCCACAGGAAAUGGUUUUUAUAAUUUCCCCUCAGUCAUUUGGGCUCCAUAUAUGGGAAGAAAUGUGUGCUCAGAUACAGUGUUUAACUGAGCCUGACUCGCAAGCUUAGUAUAUAUCAGGUGCAGAUUUUUUUUUCAAGCCAAUCUCUUCUCUUCACUGCAGCAUCACAUACACUUGACUUAAGAGCACAACAAGAGUUACUGAGAUUAUACAGUACAGUGCUGGGCAGAAUAAACACAGCUGCUCGCUUUAAACAUUUCUGAUACUUCCAUAACGCAGUGUGAAAAGUCACAUGCCGACCUGUAACGAUCUCAUUGACCAUAUAAUCUCGAAUCAUCUUGUUACAUGCAGGAAUGUGAACCCUUGUGAUGAACAUUGGUGUCGAUUGUAUUCGUCAGGUCUAUUCAGCAUCGUGUUUCUUUCUGAACACACAAGCCUCUGCUACUGAAAUGCAUUUCUCUACUUCUGCUAUAUCAUCGUUACCAUUAUAAGCUGUUAUUAAUGGACAUAAACUUGACACAUAUCUAAUGUUAUGCUGUUUUGAAAGCAGUGAUGGACUUCCAUGAUCCAUCCAUUAGGUUAGUGAGAGGAUUCAUUUUCCCAUCUAGUCAUCCAUACCAGAGAUAAACCCCUCACACAGAGGGAAUGUGCUAGAAAACUGAACCCAAGUCAUGCAGAGGAAAUGGGUUUUGGCCAGAUGCUGUAUUCUUAAGUCUCCUUCAUGGAUAAUGGGUCUCUAUUGGGUUAGAAUGUUCUGCUUUUAUAAAUCUCUCUUUCUUGAAUUUAAUAUAAGACUAUCUGACUAUUUGAGAAGCAGGUUUCUAAAUUAUAUCCCUUUGAUGCAAUGCAUAUUAUUUUGCUGUCACUUGUAUUGUGUGUAUAUACUGUAUAUGCAACACAAACUACUGUAAUGUCCACCUGUGUAAUGCAAUAAAAUCUAAAUCCAACCAUCAUACAAACACAAUCACUCGAUUUCCCCUCUGCCUGAUGUACGAGAUUACAAGUUAAACAUAUGCUCAGAAUUGGGACUAAACCUUAUUAUAUAUUCCAGGCAGAUAAAAUCUAAUUGUCUUGGCUAAAAAUGUCCAUAGAUAUUUUCGUCGUUAAUAAAUAAGCUUAGUUACAGCAUAACUGAAUGCUGGAGCAGAGAGUUUGUACCACUAUGACAUUUGAAGGGAAUGUAAACAUGGAAGAAAGAAGCUGGUACCUCAGCACUCUCUCUAAAAGCCUUGAACAAAGUAAUGGCCUGCAGCUAUGCACAGUUUAUAGUCAGCCACCUCUACACGCAUUCCUGAGAAGAGAGAAAAACAAUCAUUCUGAUACGUACUAUACACGCAGCUACUGAGGUGACGGUUACAAAGCAAUGACACUGUAGACUCCUUCCAUAAAAGUUAAACCAACAUCAUACAGAAAAAUCCAAAUCAACCACGGUACAUUUUUCUUUGUUAAAUAGUAUUUUAAUGGGAUUUUACUCCGAUUACGUUGUUAUAAUCUUGUGAUUUGCCGUGCACAGUCACAGAAGCUUUUAUAGACAAUUGACCCUUUCUGACCCAUCAAGAAUUCAACAGUACUAUAACCUACACUAUCACUUCUGCAGUGUUAUACUGUACAUAGUUCCAGUGCAAUAAUCUCGACCAUAAUCUACUUGAAACACAACAGAUCAUUAAACAUGACAAUCAAAAAAACGAGUCCUAGGAUGAAAUUAGCAGGAAAUGCUACCUGUUUUAGCAGCACACCUCUCACUCCGGCUCACACACAAAAUAUACACGUAUUACAUAAAGGAUACACACACACACACACACACACACGUCAUACUCGGCUGCAGCUCUCUGGCCCAAUCUGUAGCUUCAGUUCAGGGAUAUGAAGCAGGAGUGAGUCAGGAAAAUGGGAACCUAGGAGAAAGUCCUCACCUAUUUAAAAUGUGUCGAAACAUUCAUUAAAGAUUUGCUCAAGUCCUUGUUUUUUAAGAUUGUUUAUGACAGUACUACAAAAAUAAAUAAAUGAAUAAAUAAAAAUAUUACUCUGGCACUUGCACCUCUACUCCGUGCACUUUGCUUCUACUGGAACUCAGUUAACGGAUCUUGUAUGGUAGCGCUACUUGUAUUGUUCUCUGCUUGAUAUAUCGCUUUGGAUAAAAGCGUCUGCUAAAUGAAUAAAUGUACUACAUAACAGGACUUGCAAGGAGCUUAUGCAUACACA
Molecule: long non-coding RNA, 2323 nt
Organism: Ictalurus punctatus (channel catfish)
Lineage: Eukaryota; Metazoa; Chordata; Actinopteri; Siluriformes; Ictaluridae
Source: Ensembl